AUACGGAGGGUCCAAGCGUUAUUCGGAAUCAUUGGGUUUAAAGGGUCCGCAGGCGGUCAAUUAAGUCAGAGGUGAAAGCCCAUCGCUCAACGAUGGAACUGCCUUUGAUACUGGUUGACUUGAGUUAUACGGAAGUAGAUAGAAUAAGUAGUGUAGCGGUGAAAUGCAUAGAUAUUACUUAGAAUACCGAUUGCGAAGGCAGUCUACUACGUAUAUACUGACGCUGAGGGACGAAAGCGUGGGGAGCGAACAGGAUUAGAUACCCCUGUAGUCC
This 274-nucleotide ribosomal RNA is filed under the name uncultured bacterium. Its description in RNAcentral is "partial 16S ribosomal RNA". It matches the Rfam family "Bacterial small subunit ribosomal RNA", at positions 523 to 796 of the family's 1533-position model. The record is from RNAcentral.